CGGAGGAAAAGAAACUAACAAGGAUUCCCCUAGUAACGGCGAGUGAAGAGGGAAGAGCCCAAGAUUGAAAGCUGGCGCCUUCGGCGUCCGCAUUGUAAUCUCAAGAAGUGUUUUCCGUUUCGGACCAUGCCUAAGUCUCUUGGAAAAGAGCAUCAUAGAGGGUGAUAAUCCCGUACAUGGCAUGGAGCGCCCGAGACUUUGUGAUACACUUUCUAAGAGUCGAGUUGUUUGGGAAUGCAGCUCAAAAUGGGUGGUAAAUGCCAUCUAAGGCUAAAUAUUGGGGAGAGACCGAUAGCGAACAAGUACAGUGAUGGAAAGAUGAAAAGAACUUUGAAAAGAGAGUUAAACAGUACGUGAAAUUGCCAAAAGGGAAGGGUAGGAGGUCAGAGAUGCGGUCUGGGAUUCAGCCUUGCUUUUGCUUGGUGUUUUUCCCAGAUGGCAGGCCAACGUCGGUUUUGGGCGCUGGAGAAGGGUGGAAGGAAUGUGGCACCCCUCGGGGUGUGUUAUAGCCUUCUACUGGAUACAGUGACCGAGACCGAGGACAGCAGCGUACUCGCAAGAGCGGGCCUUCGGGCACCUUUACGCUUAGGGCGUUGGCAUAAUGGCCCUCUACCACCCGUCUU
Molecule: ribosomal RNA, 623 nt
Filed under: Ustilago xerochloae
Lineage: Eukaryota; Fungi; Basidiomycota; Ustilaginomycetes; Ustilaginales; Ustilaginaceae
Description: LSU rRNA
Rfam family: Eukaryotic large subunit ribosomal RNA
Source: RNAcentral